GUAGGGAAUAUUGGGCAAUGGAUGCAAGUCUGACCCAGCCAUCCCGCGUGCCGGAAGAAGGCCCUCAGGGUUGUAAACGGCUUUUGACGGUGAAGAAUCGACAGGAUGCGUCCUGUUUUGACGGUAGCCGUUGAAUAAGCACCGGCUAACUCCGUGCCAGCAGCCGCGGUAAUACGGAGGGUGCGAGCGUUGUCCGGAUGUAUUGGGUUUAAAGGGUGCGUAGGCUGGAAGGUCAGUCAGCGGUGAAAUGCUGUCGCUUAACGAUAGUCUUGCCGCAGAUACUUCCUUUCUUGGAUGAGGAGGAGGCCACUGGAACGGAUGGUGUAGCGGUGAAAUGCAUAGAUAUCAUCCAGAACACCGAUUGCGAAGGCAGGUGGCUGUACCUUAAUCGACGCUGAUGCACGAAAGCAUGGGGAGCAAACAGGAUUAGAAACCCGGGUAGUCC
RNAcentral lists this ribosomal RNA (445 nucleotides) under uncultured bacterium. RNAcentral describes it as "partial 16S ribosomal RNA". It matches the Rfam family "Bacterial small subunit ribosomal RNA", at positions 354 to 796 of the family's 1533-position model. The record is from RNAcentral.